AUUGCCUGCACUUUGUUGAGGAUUUAUUCCAACGCCAUCAUUGGUGAUGAUGGCGCUGGUUUGCGGGGGCACCUUAAAUUCUUCAGCGGCAAAUUUGAGGACAGCGGUGAAGGGCGCGGCCUCUGGAACACUAAACACUUUGAAAGGGAGCUUGGGGUCUGAGGUGAGAGUGACUUUGAAGGAGACCUUUCCGCCACCAGCACCCGCCAUUUUCGAGCUCUGUGAUGUGGUGAAGGUUGAACCUCGUUGAUGUUAUGAAUUUAGCCUAACAUAACAUCAACCGAAUUCCAAGAGUUAAA
RNAcentral lists this unclassified non-coding RNA (299 nucleotides) under Hevea brasiliensis (rubber tree). Lineage: Eukaryota; Viridiplantae; Streptophyta; Magnoliopsida; Malpighiales; Euphorbiaceae. The record is from RNAcentral.